GCGAUGAUUAUUUCUUUUUAACCCUGAGUCCUUCGAUGAGGAUCAAAAUCACAACAACAACACUCUAAUUUUUUAAUGAGC
This 81-nucleotide small nucleolar RNA is filed under the name Pyrenochaeta sp. DS3sAY3a. Its description in RNAcentral is "A. fimigatus snoRNA Afu_298". It matches the Rfam family "A. fimigatus snoRNA Afu_298". Lineage: Eukaryota; Fungi; Ascomycota; Dothideomycetes; Pleosporales; Cucurbitariaceae. The record is from Rfam by way of RNAcentral.